RNAcentral lists this long non-coding RNA (969 nucleotides) under Androctonus crassicauda. Lineage: Eukaryota; Metazoa; Arthropoda; Arachnida; Scorpiones; Buthidae. The record is from RNAcentral.
ACGUAAUCUGCUGUCUACUUCUUUGAAAUUUUUAAUGCUAACGUUCCAAAUUUAUUCGAAUGUUCUUUUAGGUUUAUUCUUUGUAUGUGUUUUACACCUGAUGAGGAUGCUAUAUGCAUCGAAAACGUUUGUUUACGUUUAAAUAAACUGAUGUGUUGAUUUUUAUUGCAAGGAGUGCUGAGUUUCAUUCAGUCAAUUUGUAACCAGCAAAAUGACUUAUAAAUAGAACAAGCAGUCAAUCGUAUAAAAAGUAUGGUUAUAGUGCUUGAUAAUAUAAAACUUUUUCACUAUGUCAAGGAACCAAUACUAAAGGGAUUGAUAGAAGCUGUAUAAGAAUGAAAAAUAUUGUACUAAUAAUAGAGACAUUAAUUUUACCUCUCUCAAAACUAAAGAAAGAGAAGUUAAGAUGGGACUUUCCAGAAUGGAAGAGAGAAGAAUUCCACAGCUACAAGAAUCAGAUGAAGAGAAUAGAAUUGAUUUAUAGCUCUUCAAAUAAAUGGCAGCAGAAAUUCAUAUGAUCUAUAUAUAGGAAGACAAGAUAAAGAAAUUUAUAUUUCUGAAAGAAAGCACCCAUGAAAAUAUGCUUUAUUGCAUUAUGAUAAAUGAAUGAGGUAAAGAAAUUCAUGGAGAGCUAAUAGAUUGAUAAGAACAUAAGCUUUAUAAGUUAUUAAAAAGGAAGAAUUUCCAAAAAUGUUUAUCUAUGAAGAAGAUGGUGUCAAAUCCAACAUGCCUGAGACUAUUCAAAUAUAUCAAAAAAUGCAAAGAUCCCUUAGAGUGAGACCUGCAGUUAAAAGGUAUAAGUCUCUAAUCUUUUCCUUAAAAAUAAGACUAGCAGCAGUGCUAGCUAAAACAAUCAUGGACUCUAUUGGGAUCAUUUUGAUGGGCCUCUGUAUUUCACAUUAUUUAAUAAAAUUAGGUAUAAGGAAUUAUGUUAUAAUGUUAUAUUAAAAAUUAAGUAAUGUCAAUAUC